UAGCACAGGUGCUGCAUGGCCGUCGUCAGCUCGUGCCGUGAGGUGUUGGGUUAAGUCCCGCAACGAGCGCAACCCCCGCCGUUAGUUGCCAGCGGUUCGGCCGGGCACUCUAACGGGACUGCCCGCGAAAGCGGGAGGAAGGAGGGGACGACGUCUGGUCAGCAUGGCCCUUACGGCCUGGGCGACACACGUGCUACAAUGCCCACUACAAAGCGAUGCCACCCGGCAACGGGAGCUAAUCGCAAAAAGGUGGGCCCAGUUCGGAUUGGGGUCUGCAACCCGACCCCAUGAAGCCGGAAUCGCUAGUAAUCGCGGAUCAGCCAUGCCGCGGUGAAUACGUUCCCGGGCCUU
RNAcentral lists this ribosomal RNA (351 nucleotides) under uncultured Thermus sp. RNAcentral describes it as "bacterial SSU rRNA". It matches the Rfam family "Bacterial small subunit ribosomal RNA", at positions 1030 to 1382 of the family's 1533-position model. The record is from RNAcentral. Lineage: Bacteria; Thermotogati; Deinococcota; Deinococci; Thermales; Thermaceae.